RNAcentral lists this unclassified non-coding RNA (291 nucleotides) under Hevea brasiliensis (rubber tree). The record is from RNAcentral. Lineage: Eukaryota; Viridiplantae; Streptophyta; Magnoliopsida; Malpighiales; Euphorbiaceae.
GACCUAGAACUUCCAACUCCCCCAUUUCCCAGGCUGGCAGAGGCCAUAAUAGUAAACGUUAGAAGAAUUACAGUUGCUAGUAUUUAUCACCCUUGUGAUAGUUUGCAGUUUUGCCUUCCAUCCAAUCCAAACACCUAUCUUCCUGGAAACGCUUCAAGGAAAAGCGGAAGCACAUUUCUAGCAUUUGAAGCUUCCGAUUUCGAAACGACUUGAAGCGAAACUGUUGCUAUCGAUCAGAUUACAAGAAGAAGGAGAAGGAGAAGCAGUGGGAGAGUGUUAUUGUUUUCUGAC